GUACACAAAAAUGCACAUAUUGUGAGCUCGAUGAGUAGGGCGGGACACGUGGUAUCCUGUCUGAAUAUGGGGGGACCAUCCUCCAAGGCUAAAUACUCCUGACUGACCGAUAGUGAACCAGUACCGUGAGGGAAAGGCGAAAAGAACCCCGGCGAGGGGAGUGAAAAAGAACCUGAAACCGUGUACGUACAAGCAGUGGGAGCCUCUUUAUGGGGUGACUGCGUACCUUUUGUAUAAUGGGUCAGCGACUUAUAUUCUGUAGCAAGGUUAACCGAAUAGGGGAGCCGAAGGGAAACCGAGUCUUAACUGGGCGUUAAGUUGCAGGGUAUAGACCCGAAACCCGGUGAUCUAGCCAUGGGCAGGUUGAAGGUUGGGUAACACUAACUGGAGGACCGAACCGACUAAUGUUGAAAAAUUAGCGGAUGACUUGUGGCUGGGGGUGAAAGGCCAAUCAAACCGGGAGAUAGCUGGUUCUCCCCGAAAGCUAUUUAGGUAGCGCCUCGUGAAUUCAUCUCCGGGGGUAGAGCACUGUUUCGGCAAGGGGGUCAUCCCGACUUACCAACCCGAUGCAAACUGCGAAUACCGGAGAAUGUUAUCACGGGAGACACACGGCGGGUGCUAACGUCCGUCGUGAAGAGGGAAACAACCCAGACCGCCAGCUAAGGUCCCAAAGUCAUGGUUAAGUGGGAAACGAUGUGGGAAGGCCCAGACAGCCAGGAUGUUGGCUUAGAAGCAGCCAUCAUUUAAAGAAAGCGUAAUAGCUCACUGGUCGAGUCGGCCUGCGCGGAAGAUGUAACGGGGCUAAACCAUGCACCGAAGCUGCGGCAGCGACACUAUGUGUUGUUGGGUAGGGGAGCGUUCUGUAAGCCUGUGAAGGUGGCCUGUGAGGGUUGCUGGAGGUAUCAGAAGUGCGAAUGCUGACAUAAGUAACGAUAAAGCGGGUGAAAAGCCCGCUCGCCGGAAGACCAAGGGUUCCUGUCCAACGUUAAUCGGGGCAGGGUGAGUCGACCCCUAAGGCGAGGCCGAAAGGCGUAGUCGAUGGGAAACAGGUUAAUAUUCCUGUACUUGGUGUUACUGCGAAGGGGGGACGGAGAAGGCUAUGUUGGCCGGGCGACGGUUGUCCCGGUUUAAGCGUGUAGGCUGGUUUUCCAGGCAAAUCCGGAAAACCAAGGCUGAGGCGUGAUGACGAGGCACUACGGUGCUGAAGCGACAAAUGCCCUGCUUCCAGGAAAAGCCUCUAAGCAUCAGGUAACAUCAAAUCGUAC
RNAcentral lists this ribosomal RNA (1265 nucleotides) under Escherichia coli. RNAcentral's name for it is "partial 23S ribosomal RNA". It matches the Rfam family "Bacterial large subunit ribosomal RNA", at positions 375 to 1647 of the family's 2925-position model. Lineage: Bacteria; Pseudomonadati; Pseudomonadota; Gammaproteobacteria; Enterobacterales; Enterobacteriaceae. The record is from RNAcentral.